AGCAGCCGCGGUAAUUCCAGCUCCAAUAGCGUAUAUUAAAGUUGUUGCGGUUAAAAAGCUCGUAGUUGAAUUUCGGGAUUAAUUUACUGGUCGUGCUAUUGUACGUACUGGUUUUAUUGAUUCCUCCCUUCUGACGAACUAUGAUGUCAUUAAUUUGGUGUCAUAGGAAAUCAGGACUGUUACUUUAGAAAAAAUUAGAGUAGUUUAAAGCAGGCUCACGCUUGAAUACAUUAGCAUGGAAUAACGGAAUAGGACGUUUGAUUCUAUUUUGUUGGUUUCUAGGAUCGACGUAAUGAUUAAUAGGGAUAGUUGGGGGCAUUAGUAUUCAAUUGUCAGAGGUGAAAUUCUUGGAUUUAUUGAAGACUAACUACUGCGAAAGCAUUUGCCAAGGAUGUUUUCAUUAAUCAAGAACGAAAGUUAGGGGAUCGAAGACGAUCAGAUACCGUCGUAGUCUUAACCAUAAACUAUGCCGACUAGGGAUCGGAUGAUGUUAAUUUUUAAUGUACUCAUUCGGCGCCUU
RNAcentral lists this ribosomal RNA (520 nucleotides) under uncultured Glomus. RNAcentral describes it as "SSU rRNA". It matches the Rfam family "Eukaryotic small subunit ribosomal RNA", at positions 569 to 1089 of the family's 1831-position model. Lineage: Eukaryota; Fungi; Glomeromycota; Glomeromycetes; Glomerales; Glomeraceae. The record is from RNAcentral.